CCUACGGGUGGCAGCAGUGAGGAAUAUUGGUCAAUGGGCGCGAGCCUGAACCAGCCAAGUAGCGUGAAGGAUGACUGCCCUACGGGUUGUAAACUUCUUUUAUAAAGGAAUAAAGUGAGGCACGUGUGCCCUUUUGUAUGUACUUUAUGAAUAAGGAUCGGCUAACUCCGUGCCAGCAGCCGCGGUAAUACGGAGGAUCCGAGCGUUAUCCGGAUUUAUUGGGUUUAAAGGGUGCGGAGAUGGGUUGUUAAGUCAGUUGUGAAAGGUUGCGGCUCAACCGUAAAAGUGCAAUUGAUACUGGCAGUCUUGAGUACAGGAGAGGUAGGCGGAAUGCGUGGUGUAGCGGUGAAAUGCUUAGAUAUCGCGAAGAACUCCGAUUGCGAAGGCAGCAUACUAAACUGCCACUGACAUUGAUGCUCGAAAGUGUGGGUAUCAAACAGGAUUAGAUACCCUAGUAGUC
Molecule: ribosomal RNA, 460 nt
Filed under: uncultured bacterium
Lineage: Bacteria
Description: partial 16S ribosomal RNA
Rfam family: Bacterial small subunit ribosomal RNA
Source: RNAcentral